This 229-nucleotide ribosomal RNA is filed under the name uncultured bacterium. RNAcentral's name for it is "partial 16S ribosomal RNA". It matches the Rfam family "Bacterial small subunit ribosomal RNA", at positions 568 to 796 of the family's 1533-position model. The record is from RNAcentral.
CGUGUAGGCGGCUUGGAAAGUCGGAUGUGAAAUCCCGGGGCCCAACCCCGGAACUGCAUUCGAAACUGCCUAGCUAGAGUCUCGGAGAGGAGAGCGGAAUUCCCGGUGUAGAGGUGAAAUUCGUAGAUAUCGGGAGGAACACCAGCGGCGAAGGCGGCUCUCUGGACGAUGACUGACGCUGAGACGCGAAAGCGUGGGGAGCAAACAGGAUUAGAUACCCUGGUAGUCC